This is a non-coding RNA of Petromyzon marinus (sea lamprey), 2205 nucleotides long. NCBI's taxonomy places the organism in Eukaryota, Metazoa, Chordata, Hyperoartia, Petromyzontiformes, Petromyzontidae. The record is from RefSeq and is a predicted model, not a curated record.
GCUGUGGCUGAGGCUGCUGCGGCUGAGGCUGCUGCUGCUGAGGUUGCUGCUGCGGCUGAGGCUACUGCUGCGGCUGAGGCUGCUGCUGCUGAGGCUGCAGCUGAUGCUGCUGCUGAGGCUGCUGGGGAGCAGCUCUGGCAGCGCGUACGGCCUCCCCGCGUGGCCCGGCAGUCGGCACUCGCGCCGAGCCAGGAGGGAUACCCCAUGGACGAAUCGAUUCAUGGACCCCCAUUGUCGGUUCGGUUCCACGAGAUCGAAUAACGCAAAAGUACGGGGAGGGGGAGUCUCACAUCUGGUGUGCCGCUGGACGGGAGGUGACGCGCGAGGCCUGGCAGCUCAGACAGAGCCCCCAACACCGCCGCCACCUCACCGCCACUGUUCAGUGCCUUACAACUACUGCCUUAACUGAAAGAGUUUUAUAAAUAUAAAUAUAUUUUGAAAAUAAUUAUAUAUUAAUCGAAUGUAUUGCCAGCAACUGUUAUUCUUAAAAUAGGCCGACAGUACCUUUAAAAAGUGUAUACGCUUGUGUGACUCAAGGUAGACUGUUGAAGGGAAACGCAGGAUAAUGAGCGUGGCGAAAUAUCGAGGGCCAGAGUUGACGACUCUCAUCGGGCCCACGUGGCCCCUUUGGAGCGCCGCCUCUCCCACGCCUUUGAUUUUGUGUUGUUGUUGUUGUCUCGCAAAGCAGCGAGCGGCCACGGCUCACAUCCGCACGCGCCCGGCGUGCAUGCCACGUGACCACUACACUGCACCUAUUUACAACGCUCUCAGCCUUGCCCAAACCACUAGUAGCUCGGCAGAGCUGAGAGGGCAGCAGUGUUGUUGUUUAGGCCGACGUAGGCAUCAUCAUAAACGGGCAGCGGUGAAACAGAGACAAUUGUAGGCUGGCUUCGGUCACAUUAGGACUCAUCGGUUGUACAUAUAUGGGCGCCCAUCUCUCUCUCUCUCUCUGGACCUCACGUGAACUCAUGACCAUCGGGCUACCCUCGACCCAGCCCCUGGGUUCUUGCUGUUUUCAUAUCGCAGUGAGGGAAGUCUUCCAGCUGUGUCGCUGCGGUUUCCCUAGAGAGCCCCUCCGCGUGUUCCUGCACGCAACGGCGAGUCCGGCAUAAGGGAUGUCACCCGCCCUGGGAUGUCACCCGCCCUGGGAUGUCACCGGGUCUGGGAUGUCACCCGCCCUGGGAUGUCAUCGGGUCUGGGAUGUCACCCGCCCUGGGAUGUCAUCGGGUCUGGGAUGUCGCCCGCCCUGGGAUGUCACCCGCCCUGGGAUGUCACCCGCCCUGGGAUGUCACCCGCCCUGGGAUGUCACCGGGCCUGGGAUGUCACCGGGUCUGGGAUGUCACCGGGUCUGGGAUGUCACCGGGUCUGGGAUGUCACCUGCCCUGGGAUGUCAUCGGGUCUGGGAUGUCACCCGCCCUGGGAUGUCACCGGGUCUGGGAUGUCACCCGUUCUGGGAUGUCACCCGCCCUGGGAUGUCACCGAUUCUGGGAUGUCACCGCGUGACUGCGAGGGAGCACUGCCGGUUGCGGCCGCGUUGUUGUUCGCGGCAGGCCAGACGAAUUGACGGCGGCGCUCGAUUCAUAUCAGGGCUGAAAACGCGUUGCAUGGUAUUGGCCAAAUAUCUCAAUGCAAUGUACUCCAUACGGGAUAUUUCUUUUUACUCAGCGAGGCUUUUCCGUGAGGAUAGAGAACAUUCGGAUGAAUAUAAAGCCUCGCCUAAAUUGGUGGUAAUUCUGAGGACAGGCCGGCCCCAGUGGUGGAAAUGUGGAAUUUCCACCACUGGCUCUGGGCCCUCUCGAGACGGAGAGAGGGAGGGAUGCGCGUGAGGGCGGCACCCCGCGGGGCGGUGCUGGCGAGAAUUCCUCCCUGGGGCCUCGCGCGAGUUUUGGUGACAACGCGACGACCUUCUCCACCAUCGCCAACAACGUGUGGUGUGAGAGACAGGUCCACCCGGGCCCUUCUCGUGGGGUGUGAGAGACAGGUCCACCCGGGACUUCUCGCCCUGGCGGGGUCACUUUCCAUCCCAAAUGGAACCCCUCGGCCCUGGCGCGCGCUGCGGCUGUGGUGGGGUCUCCGCUCCGAGGCAGCUCGCGUUUCUUGUUUGCGCAACCGCGCGCACACACACAGACGAUGCCCUUGUAUCUUGUACAUACAUGUGGUUUAGAGUUUAAACAUACAUCAAUAAAGGCGUAAUCAUUCGCACGU